This 477-nucleotide ribosomal RNA is filed under the name uncultured bacterium. RNAcentral describes it as "partial 16S ribosomal RNA". It matches the Rfam family "Bacterial small subunit ribosomal RNA", at positions 28 to 523 of the family's 1533-position model. The record is from RNAcentral.
GACGAACGCUGGCGGCGUGCUUAACACAUGCAAGUCGAACGGUAAGGCCCUUCGGGGUACACGAGUGGCGAACGGGUGAGUAACACGUGGGUGAUCUGCCCUGCACUUCGGAUAAGCCUGGGAAACUGGGUCUAAUACCGGAUAGGACCACUGCCUGCAUGGGUGGUGGUGGAAAGCUUUUGCGGUGUGGGAUGGGCCCGCGGCCUAUCAGCUUGUUGGUGGGGUGAUGGCCUACCAAGGCGACGACGGGUAGCCGGCCUGAGAGGGUGACCGGCCACACUGGGACUGAGAUACGGCCCAGACUCCUACGGGAGGCAGCAGUGGGGAAUAUUGCACAAUGGGCGCAAGCCUGAUGCAGCGACGCCGCGUGAGGGAUGACGGCCUUCGGGUUGUAAACCUCUUUCAGCACCGACGAAGCGCAAGUGACGGUAGGUGCAGAAGAAGGACCGGCCAACUACGUGCCAGCAGCCGCGGUAA